This 474-nucleotide ribosomal RNA is filed under the name uncultured Glomus. RNAcentral describes it as "SSU rRNA". It matches the Rfam family "Eukaryotic small subunit ribosomal RNA", at positions 569 to 1049 of the family's 1831-position model. Lineage: Eukaryota; Fungi; Glomeromycota; Glomeromycetes; Glomerales; Glomeraceae. The record is from RNAcentral.
AGCAGCCGCGGUAAUUCCAGCUCCAAUAGCGUAUAUUAAAGUUGUUGCAGUUAAAAAGCUCGUAGUUGAAUUUCGAGACCGGUUUAUUGGUCGUGCUUUUGUACGUACUGGUAUUAUUGGUUUCUCCUUUCUGACGAAUCUUAAUGCCAUUAAUUUGGUGUUUUGGGGAAUCAGGACUGUUACUUUGAAAAAUUAGAGUGUUUAAAGCAGGCUCACGCUUGAAUACAUUAGCACGGAAUAACGGAAUAGGACGUUUGAUUCUAUUUUGUUGGUUUCUAGGAUCGACGUAAUGAUUAAUAGGGAUAGUUGGGGGCAUUAGUAUUCAAUUGUCAGAGGUGAAAUUCUUGGAUUUAUUGAAGACUAACUACUGCGAGAGCAUUUGCCAAGGAUGUUUUCAUUAAUCAAGAACGAAAGUUAGGGGAUCGAAGACGAUCAGAUACCGUCGUAGUCUUAACCAUAAACUAUGCCGACUAG